RNAcentral lists this non-coding RNA (29 nucleotides) under Rattus norvegicus (Norway rat). The record is from RNAcentral. Lineage: Eukaryota; Metazoa; Chordata; Mammalia; Rodentia; Muridae.
UACGAAUAGGUUCAGACAUGCCUUCCGGU